Carassius auratus (goldfish) is the source of this 2257-nucleotide long non-coding RNA. RefSeq lists it as uncharacterized. The record is from RefSeq and is a predicted model, not a curated record. The transcript has 3 exons. Lineage: Eukaryota; Metazoa; Chordata; Actinopteri; Cypriniformes; Cyprinidae.
GCUAAGAUUCAAAACAGAAUAAACAGAAUCAAAAGGUUUAUUUUAAAAGGAAUUUAUGGGAUAAAGCAGAUGUCAGUCGUGAUUGGACAGGGUAAAAAUUGGGCUAUAGUUUUCAUUCCUUGUGUGGGUUUUGAGUUAUCUUUGGGCUGGACAUUUUUCUGGGACCCCAUAGCCCUGAAUAUUAUAAAAAAAUAUAAUGUACUCAGCCACUUCUGAGGUCAGGAGCUUUUGUUGUGGCUUGCAGGAUUAGUUAUUUAAAGCCUCAGCCGGUGGAAAUUUCCCACGGCGUUCCGCGCACGCUCAAUCAAAGCUUUAAUACGCAACCGAGGUAACGGAACAGAAGGGCAGAGUCAGUCCAGCAUCAGUAUCCUCCGGGAAUGCGAGCUGAUCACUGCCGUAACACGAUCUCUAUAGAGACCAGCACGAGCGCAAUCUCAUGGAGACAGAGUCCCAAACGCAGCAGAUCCAGCACAUCACUGAAUAAGACACUCCGAGCCACUUCGUUCCUCUACAGACCUCUAGAGUGGGUAAACCAUGGGUAAGAAAGUCUUGCAGUGUUUUCCUUGGUACAAACGCUGUAAAGACAGGGGUAAAAGCAGGAUGUGCCCUCCUCCGCCUGUGCCAUCUGUUGAGGUGCAACCUGGCUUCUCUCCGACAGUCUCCUGGGGGUACGACGGAGAGGAAAACGCCGGACGUCCCGUCUAUUUUUCCCAUAAAGCGCGUAUAGUUUAUCGCCACCAGAUGGAUGGCAAUAUUAUCGAUGCCACCUGCUGACCUCUGGGCUUCUGUCCCAGAAUCCCUUGCCUUGUACCCAUGGCUGUAGACGUUCAGUGUAGAGGAGCGUCAUAGGAUCCUACUAGACUGUUCCGUCCUGUGUAAUUAAACUAAAUCUCUUGUAUUUAGUAAAGAUGUCACAGUGUUUCCUCUGGUUCCCCCAUCCCCUCGCCAUACUUGGCACUCACCUAUCUUUACUUACUGUGUUGAAAUAUAAUAUAAUGUUUGAAGGCAGACAGAGUGAUGUAGGCCACAAGGAAUGUAGAAACAGAAACCGAGCUGGAUUUUAUAAAUACAAAUGUAAUGUGUUUUGUCAUGCAAAUAUGAUCCUGGAUGUAUGAUUGCCCAUUGCUUUUCAGAGGACAAACCAUGACUGGUUUUUCAGAGGUUCAUGAAUGCAUUUCAGGCAAAAGAUACAUUUUUGUACUAAUCACUGGAAUUAUAAUGUAACAUUUCCGUACAUUUAGUAAUUGUUUAUUAUUCUCUGGUUAUGUCAAAGAAGUUUAAGUAUUGGGGGAAAAAAAAUGUUUAAAUAUAUGAACAUAUUUCUAUUGUUAAUCUUUGUCUCAUUUAAAAUCUGAAAUGUUCUUAAUUGUUCCCUUAUUGUACAAAAAGGCUUUAUUUCUUUGUGCAAAUUAUAAAUUCUUAUUUUGUACUGGGGGUAAAAUAUGAUCUGGACAUGUUAUUGACUAUUCAGUUUUCAGUUUGAGGGUGUUUUGCUACAUAAAUAGAUAUGUAAAGGGAUAAACCAGCCAUAAAACUCUAAUACUAAUUCAUGCAAAAUAAAAAUGCCACUAUUUUGAUGUAUAAUUUCCCAUCUAUAAUGUGUUAGGAAAAAGAGCAUGUUUGAUAUUACAAGAAAAUGUUACCAAACUAAAUAAUCAUUUUUAUAUUGUACUAAUGCCCAAAUAAAUUAUUAAUUUAAUGUUUACUUUGUAUAAAAUUUCCUUUUCUAGCUACGAUAAAAGUAAUACUGCAAUCUGUAAUAUUGCACCCUAUUCUUCAUGAAAAUGCAAUUUGAAUUUGACAACACGAUUCACUGUUGGUCUCAUCUUUUCUAUGUAAAUUGCAAUGUAAGGACUCUAACCACUCUGAAAUAUUAAAUUUUUAAUCUUGGGAUGAAUAUUAAACUUGUCUGGCUGUGCACAAUUACUGUCAUCUAACAUAGUGCUAUUUCAUUUCACCAUGUAAACACAACCCCAUUACCCUGACUUCAGAUCAGAGAUGGCAGAGUGGCCCAUUGUCGUCAGCGAGGACACAGAGAGGACAGACGGGAUAUAAAUUCCCUGGUUACCAGACACAAGAUGAGAAUUAGCUUUACUGUGCCUUUGCAAGUCAUUAUCCUCUUUAAGUAGGCCUGAGUGACGUCGAUGGAUGUCUCUAAAGCGUCUAAUGUUGUGAUGAUAUAGGCCUAUAAGAGCUUAUGUUUCUUAUGAGUGGAUGUUUACAGGAUGCAUUUAUGAAGCUGACGAGUCUCUGUAAA